CCUACGGGUGGCAGCAGUGGGGAAUAUUGCGCAAUGGGCGAAAGCCUGACGCAGCCACGCCGCGUGAGCGAUGAAGGUCUUAGGAUCGUAAAGCUCUGUGGGGGGAGAAGAAACCUGACGGUAUCCCCUUAGCAAGCACCGGCUAACUCCGUGCCAGCAGCCGCGGUAAUACGGAGGGUGCAAACGUUGCUCGGAAUCAUUGGGCGUAAAGCGCACGUAGGCGGCUUUGCAAGUUGGAUGUGAAAGCCCAGGGCUCAACCCUGGAAGUGCAUCCAAAACUGCUUGGCUUGAGUCCCGGAGGGGCCCAGAGAAUUCUCGGUGUAGAGGUGAAAUUCGUAGAUAUCGGGAGGAAUACCAGUGGCGAAGGCGCUGGGCUGGACGGGUACUGACGCUGAGGUGCGAAAGCGUGGGGAGCAAACAGGAUUAGAUACCCUUGUAGU
This 440-nucleotide ribosomal RNA is filed under the name uncultured bacterium. RNAcentral describes it as "bacterial SSU rRNA". It matches the Rfam family "Bacterial small subunit ribosomal RNA", at positions 338 to 794 of the family's 1533-position model. The record is from RNAcentral.